This is a long non-coding RNA of Oreochromis niloticus (Nile tilapia), 5372 nucleotides long. RefSeq lists it as uncharacterized. The record is from RefSeq and is a predicted model, not a curated record. The transcript has 8 exons. NCBI's taxonomy places the organism in Eukaryota, Metazoa, Chordata, Actinopteri, Cichliformes, Cichlidae.
UCAAAGAGCUUUAUUGGUGGCCUAAGAAAUUCGCUUAUAAUGAACAUCUCGCCUUUUACACAUUAUUGACUUUACAAUGAAAUCAGAUAGAACUUAUUUGAAGGAGUAGGAGGUGGAAAAAAAGCUCAGAGUGCACCCGGCGUGGACUAACUCACCCAUCGUGAUUAUUUAUUUGUUCGUUUUUAAGUUUAUUUAUUUCGUGUGUGUGUGAGAGAGAGAGGGGGGGGAGCGAGAGAGAGAGACUUAGUGUAUUGUUUUAAUAUCGUUGCUCUCUUGUGUAUAGUAUUUUAAAUAUAUCGUAUCUGUGUAUUAUAGCUUGUUUACACAAACUGACAGCGCUAUGAAGUGUUCACAUUUUCUUUGGGGCCUGACUUCCAAAAAGGCAUUAUUCAGGCCCAAACAGGCAUUAUUCGGGCCUCCAAAAGUCCGGUAGCGGUGAAGGACCCGGGUAUAUAAGCUGUGGGCGCGCUCCUGCUCAGCCUUUGGGUCCUGGCUGUGGAGGAAGGAGGAGCUGGUGUUUAAGACUUUAGCAUUUACACAGAUUAACGCUCUGAAUUGAUAAUGGAGGGUUUAUUUGGAGAGCUCUGUGGUCAGAGUCAUGAUGCAGAGCGUGAGGGACGAGCGGCACGUGAUCCGCGGGUCAGGUGCUCAGCACGUGGCCAGGAGCUUGGCCUCGUUGCGGUCCUGUUCGUCUCCGUGCAGAAAACGUGGGGUUAGGUAGUGAAUCUACAGAGCCUACCACCGGAGAAGCUGUUAGAAGAGGAGUAAAGCUGCAAAGAGCAGAUGCAGAACAGUGUGUGUCACAGGGACAUAAGAGUGAGUCUGCAGCUGCGAGCUGACGGCACUCCAGCACAGUCUUUCUGCUGGACAUGGCUCUUCUGGCUCGUCUGCACACAGCUGGUCUCCAUGUCUGCAUGACUGUAGCAGCCCCAGCUGGAUGACCUUCAUGAACAGAAAGCAGGUGUGUAACUGCAGAGGUGGCACUCCCAGCACUGAAGAUGCUCGUCUGUCAUCUGAUGGAAGCAUCAAGCCAGAGCAGUGCAAGUCUUCCAUCGCUUUAAGCAACUUGUCUUCAUCAGUGUGAAUGUUGAACUUUUUUUUUUUUUUAAACCACUGUAUUUAAGGACAAUAAAGGUUGACCACACAUGACCAAUGGCUCUUUUCUUCAGUGGAUUGAUCACAGUAAACUCUGAGCAGUGUGCUUUGGAGGCUAAUCUCAGUGGGUGACAGUUAUGCCAUAAAUUCUUCUCCUGCACUGAUCAGAUGGUUGUAACUAUAAUCCCCAAGCAGCUUUUAGGUUUAGGGUCUCUUACACAUCAGUACAACAUCAUUUUACAUGUCUAAAUGUGUGAAACUUUACUGAUGGGUGGCUGUGAAUAUUGCAUUCUUAAAGUGCUGCACAUGGCUAAACUGGAAUUAAAUGUUAGUGAUGUGGCAAAAUUAUCAAACCCCAUUAAACUAUCUCAUGCAAAGGAAUAAAAGGCCGAGCUCAAAGCUGCUUGGUCAAGUUUUCUACACAGCUGCGAUCAAAACAAAGUGUGUCCAGAACCUGAGACAUUAUGUAGUUUGACAUGUGUUUUACAAACAUCUCCCUCCGUGAAAUUGACUGAAUUGCGAAGCUACAUUUACACAUUGGCAACAUAUCACUGAAGAGGACGAGUGUCACGUGAGCCUGACCCGCUGACGGUAACCAUGGUUUUAUUUUGAAGGCUGAAAGCGACCCGGUAGUCCGUCGUCUUUGUUCUCGUAAUGAGCGGGGAAACUGUUCAGUCGACCUUUUUGUGCUUGCUAGGAGUGUUGUUAGUGGUACCAGCCUUCCCUUAGCUUUAAGUGGACACGGACUUUCCUCCCCGCAGAAGACAUUUGAGCCACGACGUCCUGAAGCAGAGCAACUUGUCUGUUUAUACAGUAAUCUCAUGCUAACGAGUAGCGCUAGCUGGGUUCUGACAAAGCAGCUAACAGCGGCGAAGGUGAGCUUUUAGCUACUGACUUUUAUCACUGACACGUUUGUUCACACCGAAAAAUCAUAUGUGAGGUAAAGUUUAAACAGCUCGCUCAGUGGUGAGUAACCUGUAGGGCAGCUGAUUGCUGUAUGUUAGCAAAGCUGCAUGAUGUUGACGUGGAGCUGGAUACCGGACUGCACGCGCAAACCAACGUUUCUACUUGUUUAAGGAGUUAACAAAUGUGUUUCGAGAGACUGAAAAAAAGUUUUUGUUUUUUGUUAGGAAGGGCUGGUCAAAGAAUAAGCUAACUGUUGGCUAACACUGAGCUGAAGCUUUCGUCAACUUUCCCAGUUCCUCUAUGCUAAGGUGUCGCCGAAAUACUGAAAGCACCCUCGAAGGUUGUCAGCUGAAACCGAACAUGUAGCCUGUUCUUCUGGACUUUCAAUGGUGGAGUCUCGUUAAGAGCAGAGCCCUGUAACUAAUGUAGGGUGGGGGCGAGUGUAACCUUUUGUCUGCUGAACUGCUCGAACACACCCACAGGUGUGGCGAUGACCCGAGGACGUCUCGUUGCUCAGGCCUGAGGCCUCCUGAACAAGUAUUUCAACUUUAUAGCUACACCGACAGCACGUGCAUGCUUUUCUCUGAAGCUCAGGAAGCCAACAGGACGUGAGAACUGACGAUUUUAACCGAGCUCCAACAAGUGCCGCGAGCAGACAUGACAGCUGUGGUGGGCAAAGCGUGGGGGUGGGUGCGCUCAUGGGGCAGCAGCGGUGCCAGGUCAAAGGACACUAACGUUUUGACAGCUGAGCAACAAAAGCUGCGUGGCAGUGGUGGUUGGGGCAUCAAGGCUUGGAGCGCUUGGAUCUGGGGUGCAUGGGGACGUCAGCAUGAAUUAAGCAGUCCAGUAGAGGAGUACUGGGAGGCACAGGAGAAGCUUCAGCCUAUUAAAAUUGAAGAUCUGGCAGCAGGGAAGCAAGAGACUGAAACUGUACUGGUUCCUAGGUGGUGGGAUAGAUAUCUUCCAACUUCUUAUCUGUGGCCAAGGAAAACUGAGCUAAGUGGACUACGACACAGGAAACGUGACGGUGGGACUGGAGAUCCAUGGGAACGUGAUACUGAUGGAGACUUUUCUGAUUAUGGAACCCCCCCUCCGUCCCCCACCCCUUCUCCCUCUCAGCUGACUUCUCCUUUUCGACUGUUUGCUCACAGCUGGAACGUGGAGAUUGUACCAGAGCACUACGAGAUCUGCUUCAACUUCCUACGCCACUUGUUUGACCUGUUUGUUGUUGGCUUCCUGUGGACUGUGUCACCUCCUGCCAAGCUUAUCCUGGAGGUGCUGGGUGUCCAGGGAGCACUGAGAUUGUGGUUUCAUGUGUUCGACAGAGUGUGAUGCUAGGUGUGGAGGAAGAGAAUGACCAGACAAGAAAGGACACCGAUGACAUGAGAGACACUAAGGAACACAAAGACAAGCCUGUGUCUGUCAUAGACAAGGUAAAGACAAAUUAAAGAUGGAGAGAAUUUGCUGGCAUCACCAGUAUUCCAGCUGUAUCACACCUCCUCCAGCCCUCUGACAUCACAGCGGUGGGACUGACACAGACUGUGGACUGCAGCGUGUGUUCUGCAGCGUAACUUAAGAAUUGUAUUGCACAUUAAUUUCAUAUUCAGAGAAAUGAUACUUGUGUCACUUUAUGUCCAGCACUACAGAUCUGCAUCUGUGUUCAGCUGAUCUCACUGUUGUCACCAGAAUGUUCUCACUGGUAACUAUGUUACUGUUGUAAUCUACAAUAGAAGAGCUCAUGAAUGUUCGGAGAAUGCUUAAGUGAAAGGGGAAAACACCAGCAGGUACCUGUUUCUAUUUUCUUCUUGUUUGUGGGACUACUGUUCCCAUGAGACAGUCACUUGGUUUGAGACCAGCUGAUUGCCUCCAGUGUGGUGAGUAGAACUUGGAACAGCAAAUCUUAGAGAGGACAGAUGCAGCAUUUAUGAAGAGAGCAUCACUGAGACACUUGAGGUGAAGCAGAAAGAUCUUUGGGUCUCUUGAACACAGCGAGGAGCAGGAAUAAACUCUGAACAGAAGUCUUACUGAACAGACACCACCAAACACCAACAGUUUGCUCCUGCAUCCACUGGCCAGUUUUAGUGUGCCUCCUAAUGUUUAGCUCUUCUGACCAUGUUCAUUGUGUGUGAGAGGCAAAUUUAAAUCUGCCUUAUGGCCCCAUUCAGUUUGAACUCAGUUGAAGCUUGGCCUUGUAAAUUUGCUUGACUUUAACCUUUGUUCCCUGUUCAGCAGUCUAUCACUGCAAAUCUGACCGGCUGCUGGGAAAUCAGGAAGUUAUUCCUGCAUCAUCCAUGUCAGCAGAGUUCAGGAGUGGGGACCUCCAGGCUUUGAGGGCUGGUUCCUGCAGGUUUUAGAUGUGCCCUUGAUCCAGCACAGCUGAUUUAAAUGGCUAAAUGACCUCCUCAACAUGUCUUAAAGUUCUCCAGAGGCCUGCUAAUGAACUAAUCAUGCUGAACCAGGGUGACAUCUAAAACCUGCAGGACACCGGUCAUCGAGGCCUGGAGGUCCCCACCCCUGUUUGGAGUCUGUGAUGGUACUGACCUGUGACUUUGAGUUUGUAUCCAGGACACAGUACUGGCUCACUCAGUUGGACAGAGAGCUAAUGUGAAUGUUUGUGUAGCCUGGACAAGGGCUGAGCUAGUAGCAAACACCACUGGUGAGCUAUACCUACUCAAGCACAUGCACACUACAGCAUAGACUGUAUUAAAGCCAUGAGAGCUCCUAAAGCCAAGAGUAGUCUGCAAUUUAAAUUUCUUUUUUUAGGCAAAGAGCAAAAGAUUAAUGAAAUCUAAUUCAGAUCUUUCAUUUCAAGUCAUAACGGAAGUAGCUUCAGCACGGAGAUGGUUGCCGUUCAUUUAUAAGUGAGCAGAUGUUCGGUGAAUCAAACAGCAGAUCUAUCUGAGCUGUAGAGUCUUCUGAAACCUUGACAUCCAUUUGCAGCCGAUGCUACAUUCAAACUAUGAACUCGUUGAAGGAGCACUACACUCAUUGUUGCUUUCUGUGAGGGAUAUGUGAGAUUUUAGGAACUGGCACAAUACCAGCAGCUGACUUUAAAGUAUUUUCUGUGUACACUUAGAUUCUGCCUUUUGUUGUUUUCUGUGCCAUGAUAUUGCUUUUUUGAAACUUAACUCACAACAUAGGUCGCACUUUUCCUCCACAGAAAUGUCACGGAGGGCUUUUCCAUUUACCACUACUCUCGUAUAUAUUACCGCUGAACCAUUUAUUCCAAUAACACUUAUGGACUUUGGGCAAAAUGAACUGAAAUAUUCGUGUCUUAUUUUUGCAUGACAUAUAACAAAACUACAGAAUUUAUGUUGAUGAAAAUAUAGCGUAAAAUCAAACCCUUACUGACACUGCACUUCAUGGCACAA